RNAcentral lists this ribosomal RNA (468 nucleotides) under uncultured bacterium. RNAcentral describes it as "partial 16S ribosomal RNA". It matches the Rfam family "Bacterial small subunit ribosomal RNA", at positions 28 to 507 of the family's 1533-position model. The record is from RNAcentral.
GACGAACGCUGGCGGCGUGCUUAACACAUGCAAGUCGAACGGAAAGGCCCUGCUUUUGUGGGGUGCUCGAGUGGCGAACGGGUGAGUAACACGUGAGUAACCUGCCCUUGACUUUGGGAUAACUUCAGGAAACUGGGGCUAAUACCGGAUAGGAGCUCCUGCUGCAUGGUGGGGGUUGGAAAGUUUCGGCGGUUGGGGAUGGACUCGCGGCUUAUCAGCUUGUUGGUGGGGUAGUGGCUUACCAAGGCUUUGACGGGUAGCCGGCCUGAGAGGGUGAACGGCCACCUGUGGACUGAGAUACGGCCCAGACUCCUACGGGAGGCAGCAGUGGGGAAUAUUGCACAAUGGGCGGAAGCCUGAUGCAGCAACGCCGCGUGCGGGAUGACGGCCUUCGGGUUGUAAACCGCUUUCGCCUGUGACGAAGCGUGAGUGACGGUAAUGGGUAAAGAAGCACCGGCUAACUACGUG